GACGAACGCUGGCGGCGUGCCUAAUACAUGCCAGUUGAGCGCUGAAGGUUGGUACUUGUACCAACUGGAUGAGCAGCGAACGGGUGAGUAACGCGUGGGGAAUCUGCCUUUGAGCGGGGGACAACAUUUGGAAACGAAUGCUAAUACCGCAUAAAAACUUUAAACACAAGUUUUAAGUUUGAAAGAUGCAAUUGCAUCACUCAAAGAUGAUCCCGCGUUGUAUUAGCUAGUUGGUGAGGUAAGGGCUCACUAAGGCGAUGAUACAUAGCCGACCUGAGAGGGUGAUCGGCCACAUUGGGACUGAGACACGGCCCAAACUCCUACGGGAGGCAGCAGUAGGGAAUCUUCGGCAAUGGACGAAAGUCUGACCGAGCAACGCCGCGUGAGUGAAGAAGGUUUUCGGAUCGUAAAACUCUGUUGGUAGAGAAGAACGUUGGUGAGAGUGGAAAGCUCAUCAAGUGACGGUAACUACCCAGAAAGGGACGGCUAACUACGUG
RNAcentral lists this ribosomal RNA (497 nucleotides) under uncultured bacterium. RNAcentral describes it as "partial 16S ribosomal RNA". It matches the Rfam family "Bacterial small subunit ribosomal RNA", at positions 28 to 507 of the family's 1533-position model. The record is from RNAcentral.